CCGCAUGGUGUCUGGGAAAGCCUUUGCGGCAUGGGAUGGGGUCGCGUCCUAUCAGCUUGAUGGCGGGGUAACGGCCCACCAUGGCUUCGACGGGUAGCCGGCCUGAGAGGGCGACCGGCCACAUUGGGACUGAGAUACGGCCCAGACUCCUACGGGAGGCAGCAGUGGGGAAUAUUGCACAAUGGGCGCAAGCCUGAUGCAGCGACGCCGCGUGAGGGAUGGAGGCCUUCGGGUUGUAAACCUCUUUUGUUAGGGAGCAAGGCAUUUUGUGUUGAGUGUACCUUUCGAAUAAGCACCGGCUAACUACGUGCCAGCAGCCGCGGUAAUACGUAGGGUGCAAGCGUUAUCCGGAAUUAUUGGGCGUAAAGGGCUCGUAGGCGGUUCGUCGCGUCCGGUGUGAAAGUCCAUCGCUUAACGGUGGAUCCGCGCCGGGUACGGGCGGGCUUGAGUGCGGUAGGGGAGACUGGAAUUCCCGGUGUAACGGUGGAAUGUGUAGAUAUCGGGAAGAACACCA
Molecule: ribosomal RNA, 514 nt
Filed under: Bifidobacterium breve
Lineage: Bacteria; Bacillati; Actinomycetota; Actinomycetes; Bifidobacteriales; Bifidobacteriaceae
Description: bacterial SSU rRNA
Rfam family: Bacterial small subunit ribosomal RNA
Source: RNAcentral